UCCCUGGUAGUCCAGUGGUUAGGACACCAUGCUUCCAAUGCAGGGGGCACAGAGUCGAUCCCUGGUCAGGGAA
This is a non-coding RNA of Bos taurus (domestic cattle), 73 nucleotides long. NCBI's taxonomy places the organism in Eukaryota, Metazoa, Chordata, Mammalia, Artiodactyla, Bovidae. The record is from Rfam.